This 468-nucleotide ribosomal RNA is filed under the name uncultured bacterium. RNAcentral's name for it is "partial 16S ribosomal RNA". It matches the Rfam family "Bacterial small subunit ribosomal RNA", at positions 28 to 507 of the family's 1533-position model. The record is from RNAcentral.
GACGAACGCUGGCGGCGUGCUUAACACAUGCAAGUCGAACGGAAAGGCCCUGCUUUUGUGGGGUGCUCGAGUGGCGAACGGGUGAGUAACACGUGAGUAACCUGCCCUUGACUUUGGGAUAACUUCAGGAAACUGGGGCUAAUACCGGAUAGGAGCUCCUGCUGCAUGGUGGGGGUUGGAAAGUUUCGGCGGUUGGGGAUGGACUCGCGGCUUAUCAGCUUGUUGGUGGGGUAGUGGCUUACCAAGGCUUUGACGGGUAGCCGGCCUGAGAGGGUGACCGGCCACAGUGGGAGUGAGAUACGGCCCAGACUCCUACGGGAGGCAGCAGUGGGGAAUAUUGCACAAUGGGCGGAAGCCUGAUGCAGCAACGCCGCGUGCGGGAUGACGGCCUUCGGGGUGUAAACCGCUUUCGCCUGUGACGAAGCGUGAGUGACGGUAAUGGGUAAAGAAGCACCGGCUAACUACGUG